This 84-nucleotide transfer RNA is filed under the name Apios priceana. RNAcentral's name for it is "tRNA-Tyr". Lineage: Eukaryota; Viridiplantae; Streptophyta; Magnoliopsida; Fabales; Fabaceae. The record is from RNAcentral.
ACCCGAUUUCCAGAUUGAUUAUCGUUUUUUAUUUCCCGGUUUAAUAAAUAUACCUAUCGAAUCUUAGUAAUGAAUGACAGUGAA